GAUGAACGCUGGCGGCGUGCCUAAUACAUGCAAGUCGAGCGAACAGACGAGGAGCUUGCUCCUCUGACGUUAGCGGCGGACGGGUGAGUAACACGUGGAUAACCUACCUAUAAGACUGGGAUAACUUCGGGAAACCGGAGCUAAUACCGGAUAAUAUAUUGAACCGCAUGGUUCAAUAGUGAAAGACGGUUUUGCUGUCACCUAUAGAUGGAUCCGCGCCGCAUUAGCUAGUUGGUAAGGUAACGGCUUACCAAGGCAACGAUGCGUAGCCGACCUGAGAGGGUGAUCGGCCACACUGGAACUGAGACACGGUCCAGACUCCUACGGGAGGCAGCAGUAGGGAAUCUUCCGCAAUGGGCGAAAGCUUGGCGGAGCAACGCCGCGUGAGUGAUGAAGGUCUUCGGAUCGUAAAACUCUGUUAUUAGGGAAGAACAAAUGUGUAAGUAACUAUGCACGUCUUGACGGUACCUAAUCAGAAAGCCACGGCUAACUACGUG
RNAcentral lists this ribosomal RNA (497 nucleotides) under uncultured bacterium. RNAcentral's name for it is "partial 16S ribosomal RNA". It matches the Rfam family "Bacterial small subunit ribosomal RNA", at positions 28 to 507 of the family's 1533-position model. The record is from RNAcentral.